RNAcentral lists this ribosomal RNA (301 nucleotides) under uncultured bacterium. RNAcentral describes it as "partial 16S ribosomal RNA". It matches the Rfam family "Bacterial small subunit ribosomal RNA", at positions 509 to 807 of the family's 1533-position model. The record is from RNAcentral.
CAGUCGCCGCGGGAAUACGUAGGGUGCAAGCGUUAAUCGGAAUUACUGGGCGUAAAGCGUGCGCAGGCGGUGUUGUAAGACUGAUGUGAAAUCCCCGGGCUCAACCUGGGAACUGCAUUGGUGACUGCAGCGCUGGAGUGCGGCAGAGGGGGAUGGAAUUCCGCGUGUAGCAGUGAAAUGCGUAGAUAUGCGGAGGAACACCGAUGGCGAAGGCAAUCCCCUGGGCCUGCACUGACGCUCAUGCACGAAAGCGUGGGGAGCAAACAGGAUUAGAUACCCCCGUAGUCCCUGUCUCUUAUAC